CAGUCGCCGCGGUAAUACGUAGGUGGCAAGCGUUGUCCGGAAUUAUUGGGCGUAAAGCGCGCGCAGGCGGCCUAUCCAGUCUGUCUUAAAAGUUCGGGGCUCAACCCCGUGAUGGGAUGGAAACUAGUAGGCUAGAGUAUCGGAGAGGAAAGCGGAAUUCCUAGUGUAGCGGUGAAAUGCGUAGAUAUUAGGAAGAACACCAGUGGCGAAGGCGGCUUUCUGGACGAAAACUGACGCUGAGGCGCGAAAGCUAGGGGAGCGAACGGGAUUAGAUACCCGCGUAGUCCCUGUCUCUUAUACA
This 301-nucleotide ribosomal RNA is filed under the name uncultured bacterium. Its description in RNAcentral is "partial 16S ribosomal RNA". It matches the Rfam family "Bacterial small subunit ribosomal RNA", at positions 509 to 808 of the family's 1533-position model. The record is from RNAcentral.